AGUGAACGCUGGCGGUAGGCCUAACACAUGCAAGUCGAACGGCAGCACAGUAAGAGCUUGCUCUUACGGGUGGCGAGUGGCGGACGGGUGAGGAGUACAUCGGAAUCUACUUUUUCGUGGGGGAUAACGUAGGGAAACUUACGCUAAUACCGCAUACGACCUACGGGUGAAAGCAGGGGAUCUUCGGACCCUGCGCGAUUGAAUGAGCCGAUGUCGGAUUAGCUAGUUGGCGGGGUAAAGGCCCACCAAGGCGACGAUCCGUAGCUGGUCUGAGAGGAUGAUCAGCCACACUGGAACUGAGACACGGUCCAGACUCCUACGGGAGGCAGCAGUGGGGAAUAUUGGACAAUGGGCGCAAGCCUGAUCCAGCCAUACCGCGUGGGUGAAGAAGGCCUUCGGGUUGUAAAGCCCUUUUGUUGGGAAAGAAAAGCAGCAGGUUAAUACCCCGCUGUUCUGACGGUACCCAAAGAAUAAGCACCGGCUAACUUCGUG
This 492-nucleotide ribosomal RNA is filed under the name uncultured bacterium. RNAcentral's name for it is "partial 16S ribosomal RNA". It matches the Rfam family "Bacterial small subunit ribosomal RNA", at positions 29 to 507 of the family's 1533-position model. The record is from RNAcentral.